Molecule: non-coding RNA, 606 nt
Organism: Vicugna pacos (alpaca)
Lineage: Eukaryota; Metazoa; Chordata; Mammalia; Artiodactyla; Camelidae
Source: RefSeq, a predicted model, not a curated record
CUGCUGCCCCAGGUUCCCUGGAGGCUUGCCCUCCGGUCAUGCUGCUCCUGAGAGGCGGGCACUGUGCAUUCAGUGUUCGGGGACUGCAGCAGUGACAGCGAGAAAUGGGAGCAGAUACCUGCUCUAGCAUGUGGCAGCCCCAGUCCUGCUGUUGCCGCUGCCGAGUCCCCUAGACAGCCCCCCACCUGCCUCCCAGGAGAAGGCUGACAGGGAGAAGUGCUUUGCAAGCUGAGGAACUGCAUCUGCCUCCAGCCCCGCCUGCCCAGGCCCCUGAGCCUGGGACAGCUGACUGCGUGCCCAUACAUGCUCAGGAUCCUUGCCUGGUGGCUGUCACCAUGGUGAUUGGAGCCUGGAUUGCCCCGCCCGCGAGGGGAACCACAGCCCAAGCUCGCCCUCUGUGGUCUAGCAGAGGCGGGGCAGGUAUGCAAGCCUGGACGUCUGAGCUCGCCCAGAGCAGUGGAAGCUGGGUGAGAGCCCGGUUCUCCUGGACCAGCUACCCAAGGAGGGACACGGCCUGGGGUCUGGGCCGCCACUCUCUGUCGCCUCUUCUGCCUUCACCAGUCAGAAGGAACCCUACUUCAGGAUGACACCUGCACCCCAAUGUUC